CCCAGAAAAGAUUCAUCUAAAGCGUUGAUCAGAAGAGCCUUCACAACUCUUUCAAAAUGAGUAUAGUGGUCACUAAAAGAAUAAAGAGAAUUCUGUUUUACUAAUUUCAGUUGUGAUGUAGUCAAUUUUUCUCCUUGUUGGUUUUUAUUCUCUUCAUCACCCUCCUCAUCUUGCACUACAAAGUCAUCGAUAAUAUAAUCAUCUCCAUCUUCAUCAGAUUCAUAAUUAUCCUCUUCUUC
This 239-nucleotide long non-coding RNA is filed under the name Homo sapiens (human). RNAcentral describes it as "LNC_000657". The record is from RNAcentral. Lineage: Eukaryota; Metazoa; Chordata; Mammalia; Primates; Hominidae.